Molecule: transfer RNA, 55 nt
Filed under: Pyramimonas parkeae
Lineage: Eukaryota; Viridiplantae; Chlorophyta; Pyramimonadophyceae; Pyramimonadales; Pyramimonadaceae
Description: partial tRNA
Source: RNAcentral
GAAAAAUCUCCGCCUUGAGCCUUGCCAUCUUCCAAUGCAUUGUAUCAGCAACAGG